Molecule: ribosomal RNA, 498 nt
Filed under: uncultured bacterium
Lineage: Bacteria
Description: bacterial SSU rRNA
Rfam family: Bacterial small subunit ribosomal RNA
Source: RNAcentral
CUACGUGCCAGCAGCCGCGGUAAUACGGAAGGUCCGGGCGUUAUCCGGAUUUAUUGGGUUUAAAGGGAGCGUAGGCCGUGGAUUAAGCGUGUUGUGAAAUGCAGGUGCUCAACGUCUGCACUGCAGCGCGAACUGGUUCACUUGAGUGUGCGCAACGCAGGCGGAAUUCGUCGUGUAGCGGUGAAAUGCUUAGAUAUGACGAAGAACUCCGAUUGCGAAGGCAGCUUGCGGGAGCACAACUGACGCUGAAGCUCGAAAGUGCGGGUAUCGAACAGGAUUAGAUACCCUGGUAGUCCGCACGGUAAACGAUGGAUGCCCGUUGUCAGGCUGUUUCAGUCUGGUGACCAAGCGAAAGCAUUAAGCAUCCCACCUGGGGAGUACGCCGGCAACGGUGAAACUCAAAGGAAUUGACGGGGGCCCGCACAAGCGGAGGAGCAUGUGGUUUAAUUCGAUGCAACGCGAAGAACCUUACCUACUCUUGACAUCCAGAGAACAUUC